CAGGCUGGCAGGGAGACCUCAUCACGGCUCACUCCUCAGUUCAUACUUGACCACCGCGGUGGACUGUGAGUGUAAAUACUAUAGCUGGGUUUAUUUUACUUCAGUUUUACGUGUACAGGACAAUACAGCGGCGCAGAUUGUGUUCCUAUGGAUUUUUUUUAUUACUGUAGUGUUGGCAGCGUGUGGAGUGUGGCAGAACGGCAGAGGUCACACAGCAGCUCAUCCCACAGCAGGCUGCCCUCCCCUGUGCCGCCACCACCACCACCACUACCAGUGAGGGAGGAGGCAGAGGUACAGCUCACCAAAUUGUCAGAUGAUGGAGAGAAGAAUUUUCUCACCUUGAAGAUAGAGGAGAAGAGCAAACUGGAGGAAACCAACUGGGAGGAGGAGGAAAAACUUUGCUCCAGUCUAAUGGAGAGAGAGAGAGAGAGAGAGAGAGAGAGAGAGAGAGAGAGAGAGAGAGAGAGAGAG
Long non-coding RNA from Scylla paramamosain (green mud crab), 471 nucleotides. RefSeq lists it as uncharacterized. The transcript is spliced from 3 exons. NCBI's taxonomy places the organism in Eukaryota, Metazoa, Arthropoda, Malacostraca, Decapoda, Portunidae. The record is from RefSeq and is a predicted model, not a curated record.